ACAUAUUUAUUUACUCCUGGGGAUGCAAAUCUAAUUUUGAUGCUGGGGUGUGGAUCACUGAUAGAAUGUUUGUCUAGCAUGCCUGAGUCCAUGUGUUCUAUACCCUACAUCAUUCGAGGGAAGGGAGGGAGGGAGGAGUGGAGGGGAGGAGGGAGAGAGGGGAGAUGAAGGAGGACCUCUGCUCUAUGGGUAUUGAGGCCUAUAACACCCCCAGAGCAGCAGAGAGGACUGGAAGAACUGGUGGAGAUGGAUAUGCCACUAGGGGGCAGAAAAGACUCAGACCCCCUGCCCCCUGUGCUGAGAUCUGUCUCUGCUAAACAUACUUGGGGGUGGGGGCAGAUAUUGUCAUAGCUAAAAGCAAAGUUACUGAAAGUCGUUACCCUAGGCUGCUAUGGUAAGCAGUGUUUCCAUGUAUAAAGGAGUCACCUGGGAUCUUGUCAAAUACAGAUGUCUCCCAGGUUUCCACGUAGGUUGGGGGUUACCAAGGAUGCUUUAAAGUGGUCAAGUUCUCAAGUAUCUCAGUGUAAAUCAUUGUCCUCUCUCUCUCUCUCUCUCUCUUCACCUCUCCUCUCCCUCUUCAUCAACUAUCAAUAAUUAUCUUUACUAUGAUUAUCUUACAUAACCAUUCAGGUAGAUCGGUAGCAACUGUGUAACUCACCCCAUGACAAAUAAAAUCCACGAUGCUGGUUGGUGGUCAUAGGUAAAAGGAAGGGACUCAGCACACUGACAUGGGCCUUUCUGAAAUGCAUUACUUCCUUGGAUACUGUGGACACUUAAGCGUGUCCUCUCCCUCUCUAGUGCCCGCCAAGGUCUAGGAGACAUUCCUAUGAGCCAAAGUAGGAGGAACCACACAGACCUGAACCAUCUAAAGCCCCGAAAACUCCAGAAUUGUCAAAAGCAGUCAUGGAUCUUUCUAGAUUCUGUCUACUCUUACAGAAGUCCUCAGCACAGAUUAGAAGCAGGCUGUGCUUGCAUAUCUUUGUUUCCUCUGUAUAUUGAACAAAUACUAAGUAAGUAGGCUUGAGACUACACAUUAGCAAGCUGUCAGGUCAGCCCCCAUGCACGUGCUUGUAUGCGUGUGUGUGUGUGUGUGUGUGUGUGUGCGCGUGUGCGCUUGUGUGUGCAUGUGUGAGUGCUUGUGUGUGUGUGUGUGUGUGUACAUGUCUUAGCAUGUGCACAGAAUUCAGAGAAGGACAUUGGCUGUUGAGCUUUGUGAGGCUCCCCCUUAUUCCCUGAGAUGCUCUCUCCCUGAGACUGAAGCUUUCCAUUUCAACUGGCCUGGCUGGGUUCACGGCUGGCUGAGAUUUCGUGGUCUCCAUCCUCCAACUCUCAGUUGGAGACACUCAGAUCCCAGCUUCUAUGUGGGUGCAGGGAAUUUGCCUGAACUCAGGUCCUCAUGCACACACAGCAAGCACUCUUACCCACUGGGACAUUUCCGUAGUCUUUCCAUAUCAUUUUUUAUCCCGUCUCCAAUAUACUUGUUUUUGGUGCAUAGAGAGGAGGGGAGGGGAAGCCCUAAGUGUUUGUUUUGCAGCCACAGAUGACAGUAAGUCCUCUUGCUUGAGGGUGUAAUUCUUUUUUCCUCUUUCCUUACAGCUGUGACCUAGUUAACUGUAGGUGGGAAUCAAACGCCCAAAUCAUCAGACUUUUGGCUUGGCUUAGGCUCUUGCUGUUAAGUGGUAGGAUGUCCUCCUUAAUGACAGGAAGUCGGGUCCCCUGAUCAGCAACAUUCGUGUUCUUUGUGCUCAGAGAUAAAGAACUGAGUGUAUAAGGCUGCGGUUUCCUUGUGGUCAGGGAAGAGAGGAAAGGGAUAGAUGAGUCCGUGACCCAUGGAUGAAUCACUCCUGCCUAAACAGUUGAAAUGUUCAUCUGAGUGUUCUGGCCUGGAGUCCUCCAGUCCAUGGGGACAAAGGAGAGAAUGACUCACUCACUGUCCUUUUAUGGCUACAUUGCUAAUGUUGAGCAUCCUAUAGACCAGAAUAUGAUAUCAUUAAGAAGCCACUU
RNAcentral lists this long non-coding RNA (2004 nucleotides) under Mus pahari (shrew mouse). RNAcentral's name for it is "lncRNA (MGP_PahariEiJ_G0032913.1)". Lineage: Eukaryota; Metazoa; Chordata; Mammalia; Rodentia; Muridae. The record is from RNAcentral.